Molecule: long non-coding RNA, 856 nt
Organism: Erpetoichthys calabaricus (reedfish)
Lineage: Eukaryota; Metazoa; Chordata; Cladistia; Polypteriformes; Polypteridae
Exons: 3
Source: RefSeq, a predicted model, not a curated record
CUGAGGUUUUUUGGAAAAAAUAUUCAGCCCUCAAAGAGUUAAACUGAGCAGCUGAGUACAACUCCAAUAAUCAAAAAUGGCUGUACUGAACUUGUGAGGCCUGGCAUGCUCACACCCCUAACUUUGACCUCUCUGCUUAUCUGUGUCCCGAGUGACCUGUUGAAAGGAUGUGUUUCGUAGCUCAGUUUCUUACAAGUGAACAUCCUUUUAAUUCGUGAGUACUCCGUGGCACGUGACCCGGAAGCAGGCAGACCAGAAGGGACCAGUAGAGACUGCAAGACAUCCCUCCAGGGCCUCACAUCAUGUCAUCCAAAUUCCAAUAUUGAAUCAAACAGAUCAAGCCCGGCCUCUCCUGUAGUCUGCAGUCUUCCAGGAUCUGGCUACUCCGUGGCCUGAGAGUACGAAAUAAUGAGAACAAGCUGCUGCUGCCUGAGCCAUGAGUGGGGAAGGAACGUGGGGUCCAGGAUUAUCCCAUACAUCAGUCAGCUAAUCCCAGGAUCGUAGAUGCAAAUGCUUAACAGCUAAAGUAAAGUAAAGACUGUAAAUCACACCAGGGACCCCCUGCAUUACUCUAGUUUUUUGUUUUCUUCAACCCUGCCAGAAGGCUAAUCCCCAAAAGCCGGUGGUCUGUCUGGCCAGGGGCCGAGCUCCAUUGUGUUUUCCUUUUCAAAAAACCAGACAAAUUUUCCAUACCAAAAGAUUAAAAAAAGAAAAAAAAAAUAGACAGCGGAAAACUGGAUAACGUUUCUAUUUUUUGCAGCAGGUGUUUUGAAGCCCCGGACUGAUGUAACACCUGCAUGCCAGCCAGCGCGCUUAACCCUUAAUGAGCUCCUCCGACUGUUACUUGGUGUUCCAC